Molecule: ribosomal RNA, 800 nt
Filed under: uncultured bacterium
Lineage: Bacteria
Description: bacterial SSU rRNA
Rfam family: Bacterial small subunit ribosomal RNA
Source: RNAcentral
GGUGAGUAACACGUAGGAACCUACCCUUAGGCGGGGGACAACUCAGGGAAACUUGAGCUAAUACCGCAUAAAUCCACGGGCUGGGAUGCUUGUGGGGAAAGUGGCAACACACCUAAGGAUGGGCCUGCGGCCUAUCAGGUAGUUGGUAGGGUAAGGGCCUACCAAGGCGACGAUCCGUAGCUGGUCUGAGAGGAUGAUCAGCCACACUGGGACUGAGGCACGGCCCAGACUCCUACGGGAGGCAGCAGUGGGGAAUCUUGGACAAUGGGCGCAAGCCUGAUCCAGCAAUGCCGCGUGAGUGAAGAAGGCCUGCGGGUUGUAAAGCCCUUUCGGUGGGGAGGAAGGCUCUGGUGCGAAGAGCGCUGGGACUUGUCGUUACCCACAGAAGACGCACCGGCCAACUCCGUGCCAGCAGCCGCGGUAAUACGGAGGAUGCGAGCGUUAAUCGGAAUUACUGUGCGUAAAGGGCGCGUAGACGGUACGUAGAGUCAGCUGUAAAAGCCCUGGGCUUUAACCCUGGGAAUGGCAGUUGAGACUGGCGUGCUGGCAGUGCGACAGAGGAUGGUGGAAUUCCCCGGUGUAGCGGUGAAAUGCGUAGAGAUCGGGAGGAACACCGAUGGCGAGGCAGCCGUCUGGCUCGAGACUGACGCUGAGGCGCGACCGUUGGCGAGCAAACAGGAUUAGAUACCCUGCUAGUCCAUGCGUAGACGAUGAGACUAGACGUCAGGCGGGUGCAGCCGUUUGGUGCCGGAGCUAACCGCGUUAAGUCCGCCGCCUGGCGCAGUACGGGCCGCAAGGUU